Labeo rohita (rohu) is the source of this 404-nucleotide long non-coding RNA. RefSeq lists it as uncharacterized. The record is from RefSeq and is a predicted model, not a curated record. Lineage: Eukaryota; Metazoa; Chordata; Actinopteri; Cypriniformes; Cyprinidae. The transcript is spliced from 4 exons.
CUGUACUCCCCGUUGUUGGCGGUUGGAAGAACUGUGCGAGUGCUCUCUGCUAAUUAAUGAAUUUUAUCGUGGGUCGAAGAGCUGCAUAGGUGUGUGCGUGUGGUUUUGACAAAUUGAUGAUCGUCUUCGUGUGGAGUGCGUAUGAUUUGUGGGGAAUAACAUCUUGGAUACUGUUAGUGGGCUGCUGUGUAUUGUUGUGCCUCUCCUCCUAUGAAGUGGUUGGCUUCUACCGGCUAGCAAUAUCAAUGAUAUUAAUUCAAGUUGUUGUGCACCUGUCCCUUUCCCUGUAAGGAAGUGAUUGGCUUUACAGUUUAGCACUGCGCCUGAUUUUCCUCCAUGAGGUGGUUGCCUGCUACAGUUUAGUCCAUUAUAUGGGCUGAGGUAUGAGUAUUUUUUUUAUUAAG